CCUACGGGUGGCAGCAGUGAGGAAUAUUGGUCAAUGGGCGAGAGCCUGAACCAGCCAAGUCGCGUGAAGGAUGACGGCCCUACGGGUUGUAAACUUCUUUUGUCAGGGAGCAAUUGGGUCCACGCGUGGGCUUAGCGAGAGUACCUGAAGAAAAAGCAUCGGCUAACUCCGUGCCAGCAGCCGCGGUAAGACGGAGGAUGCGAGGGUUAUCCGGUGUUAUUGGGUUUAAAGAUUGCGUAGGCGGAAUAUCAAGUCAGCGGUAAAGAUUCGGGGCUCAACCCCGUCGUGCCGUUGAAACUGAUGUUCUUGAGUGCGCGAGAGGUAUGCGGAAGGCGUGGUGUAGCGGUGAAAUGCACAGAUAUCACGCAGAACUCCUAUUGCGAAGGCAGCAUACCGGCGCCCAACUGACGCUGAAGCACGAAAGCGUGGGUAUCGAACAGGAUUAGAUACCCGUGUAGUC
This 460-nucleotide ribosomal RNA is filed under the name uncultured bacterium. RNAcentral's name for it is "partial 16S ribosomal RNA". It matches the Rfam family "Bacterial small subunit ribosomal RNA", at positions 338 to 795 of the family's 1533-position model. The record is from RNAcentral.